Molecule: non-coding RNA, 212 nt
Filed under: Bradyrhizobium sp. CIR18
Lineage: Bacteria; Pseudomonadati; Pseudomonadota; Alphaproteobacteria; Hyphomicrobiales; Nitrobacteraceae
Source: RNAcentral
AAAGUCCCAUCCGGCUAAAGCCGUAGCAGGCCAGCCGGGACCGAGUCUUGCGGGCGUUGCGGCAACGCUGGGGUCCGAAGUGUAGACCGUGCGGGGUGCGGAAUGAGCCUCGAAAGGUGGAUUUUCGCGGAGGCCGAGUGUGCUCCCAAGCACGAAGGCUGCAUGAGCAGUCCAUACGCGAGAAGAUGCCGCUCCGUCGGGGUGGAUGGCCG